Long non-coding RNA from Leptidea sinapis, 653 nucleotides. RefSeq lists it as uncharacterized. The record is from RefSeq and is a predicted model, not a curated record. NCBI's taxonomy places the organism in Eukaryota, Metazoa, Arthropoda, Insecta, Lepidoptera, Pieridae. The transcript is spliced from 3 exons.
UUUGUAAACUAUUCAUGUACGGUACUUGCUGAUUUUAUUGGGAAUCAUGAGGGUAGUUGUACAUGCUCCGCUAACUGAUGACACAAGUCGCGCUUGGGUUGACAAGCGGACAGAGGCUGCUGAGCUUUGUUCGGGUGUGGUCGCUAGCACUAAAUCUGUAAGCCGUGCUUACCCUGAGUGAUAACCUGUGGACAUCAAGUCUACCACAAGCUUCGUGGCUCUCCAUCAGUGUCGACGUUCAAUACUAGCGUCUUUACGUUAUCAUUCAUACAAACUUUGCAAGAUUGCGAUUGCCAGUGUGACGUUCACGUUGGAAUACCAGAGUUAGGACCGUUGGAGCUGCUGCUCCGCCGCCAUCUGAGUGGAAGUGUUCAAAGAUUUGAACUCCUUGGACUACAAAUUGUGGUGAAUUUUAGAAGACAUGACCUGCUCUGAAAACACACGCCGUUAUCAAGUCACUUAAGGAACAAGUAAGAUAAAUACAAGCAUCAUUUAAUGAUCUCUCUAUCAAGAGGCACUUUAAUCUAGAGGGACCUGUUUUUCCCAUUACAUCUUCAACCGUCCCUGAGACCACAGUUCAUAAUUCUGUAUCCUCAGAACCUGUGAUCUAUCAAGAAUGGCUUGAAUGUGAAAUUUAAAGAAAAUAAAGUACU